RNAcentral lists this transfer RNA (69 nucleotides) under Exitianus nanus. Its description in RNAcentral is "tRNA-Trp". Lineage: Eukaryota; Metazoa; Arthropoda; Insecta; Hemiptera; Cicadellidae. The record is from RNAcentral.
AAGACUUUAAGUUAAAUUUAAACUGUUAGCCUUCAAAGUUAUCUAUAUCUUAAGACAAGGUAAGUCUUA